RNAcentral lists this ribosomal RNA (319 nucleotides) under uncultured soil bacterium. RNAcentral's name for it is "bacterial SSU rRNA". It matches the Rfam family "Bacterial small subunit ribosomal RNA", at positions 26 to 341 of the family's 1533-position model. The record is from RNAcentral.
AGAUUGAACGCUGGCGGCAUGCCUUACACAUGCAAGUCGAACGGCAGCACGGGAGCAAUCCCUGGUGGCGAGUGGCGAACGGGUGAGUAAUACAUCGGAACGUGCCCAAUCGUGGGGGAUAACGCGAGCGAAGCUGUGCUAAUACCGCAUAAGAUCUACGGAUAGAAAGCAGGGGAUCGCAAGACCUUGCGCGAAUGGAGCGGCGAUGGACAGAGUUAGGUAGUUGGUGAGGUAAAGGCUCACCGAAGCCUUCGAUCUGUAGCUGUCUGAGAGGACGACCAGCCCACGACGUGGGACUAGGAGACCGACCGGACCCAGG